This 220-nucleotide long non-coding RNA is filed under the name Lathyrus oleraceus (garden pea). RNAcentral describes it as "Pisum sativum (pea) long non-coding RNA (PSAT_LNC003112)". Lineage: Eukaryota; Viridiplantae; Streptophyta; Magnoliopsida; Fabales; Fabaceae. The record is from RNAcentral.
AAUAAAAAAAAGAAAAAAAUAAAUAAAAUAUAACAGAAAAAUUUUGGACUUGAGCCUCUCUCAUUUGAGCCCACAGGUCCACAAAAAUCAGGUUAUAAAUUCAGAGUUUCAGUGAAACAAAAGGCCAUUCUAUUCCUAUUACCCGGGCUGAGGAAAAAGAUAGUGAGAGAAGAGCCAACAGAGUUCAAAGCAACCUCUAGAGACUGAAGGGAACUCAUCG